AACCGGCGAUUUCCGAAUGGGGAAACCCAGUGUGUUUCGACACACUAUCAUUAACUGAAUCCAUAGGUUAAUGAGGCGAACCGGGGGAACUGAAACAUCUAAGUACCCCGAGGAAAAGAAAUCAACCGAGAUUCCCCCAGUAGCGGCGAGCGAACGGGGAGGAGCCCAGAGCCUGAAUCAGUGUGUGUGUUAGUGGAAGCGUCUGGAAAGGCGUGCGAUACAGGGUGACAGCCCCGUACACAAAAAUGCACAUAUUGUGAGCUCGAUGAGUAGGGCGGGACACGUGGUAUCCUGUCUGAAUAUGGGGGGACCAUCCUCCAAGGCUAAAUACUCCUGACUGACCGAUAGUGAACCAGUACCGUGAGGGAAAGGCGAAAAGAACCCCGGCGAGGGGAGUGAAAAAGAACCUGAAACCGUGUACGUACAAGCAGUGGGAGCCUCUUAAUGGGGUGACUGCGUACCUUUUGUAUAAUGGGUCAGCGACUUAUAUUCUGUAGCAAGGUUAACCGAAUAGGGGAGCCGAAGGGAAACCGAGUCUUAACUGGGCGUUAAGUUGCAGGGUAUAGACCCGAAACCCGGUGAUCUAGCCAUGGGCAGGUUGAAGGUUGGGUAACACUAACUGGAGGACCGAACCGACUAAUGUUGAAAAAUUAGCGGAUGACUUGUGGCUGGGGGUGAAAGGCCAAUCAAACCGGGAGAUAGCUGGUUCUCCCCGAAAGCUAUUUAGGUAGCGCCUCGUGAAUUCAUCUCCGGGGGUAGAGCACUGUUUCGGCAAGGGGGUCAUCCCGACUUACCAACCCGAUGCAAACUGCGAAUACCGGAGAAUGUUAUCACGGGAGACACACGGCGGGUGCUAACGUCCGUCGUGAAGAGGGAAACAACCCAGACCGCCAGCUAAGGUCCCAAAGUCAUGGUUAAGUGGGAAACGAUGUGGGAAGGCCCAGACAGCCAGGAUGUUGGCUUAGAAGCAGCCAUCAUUUAAAGAAAGCGUAAUAGCUCACUGGUCGAGUCGGCCUGCGCGGAAGAUGUAACGGGGCUAAACCAUGCACCGAAGCUGCGGCAGCGACACUAUGUGUUGUUGGGUAGGGGAGCGUUCUGUAAGCCUGUGAAGGUGGCCUGUGAGGGUUGCUGGAGGUAUCAGAAGUGCGAAUGCUGACAUAAGUAACGAUAAAGCGGGUGAAAAGCCCGCUCGCCGGAAGACCAAGGGUUCCUGUCCAACGUUAAUCGGGGCAGGGUGAGUCGACCCCUAAGGCGAGGCCGAAAGGCGUAGUCGAUGGGAAACAGGUUAAUAUUCCUGUACUUGGUGUUACUGCGAAGGGGGGACGGAGAAGGCUAUGUUGGCCGGGCGACGGUUGUCCCGGUUUAAGCGUGUAGGCUGGUUUUCCAGGCAAAUCCGGAAAACCAAGGCUGAGGCGUGAUGA
This 1421-nucleotide ribosomal RNA is filed under the name Escherichia coli. Its description in RNAcentral is "partial 23S ribosomal RNA". It matches the Rfam family "Bacterial large subunit ribosomal RNA", at positions 102 to 1569 of the family's 2925-position model. RNAcentral also lists the same sequence under 1 other name. Lineage: Bacteria; Pseudomonadati; Pseudomonadota; Gammaproteobacteria; Enterobacterales; Enterobacteriaceae. The record is from RNAcentral.